This 505-nucleotide ribosomal RNA is filed under the name Clonostachys rosea. RNAcentral describes it as "eukaryotic LSU rRNA". The stretch from base 134 to 287 matches the Rfam family "5.8S ribosomal RNA". Lineage: Eukaryota; Fungi; Ascomycota; Sordariomycetes; Hypocreales; Bionectriaceae. The record is from RNAcentral.
UGUGAACAUACCUACUGUUGCUUCGGCGGGAUUGCCCCGGGCGCCUCGUGUGCCCCGGAUCAGGCGCCCGCCUAGGAAACUUAACUCUUGUUUUAUUUUGGAAUCUUCUGAGUAGUUUUUACAAAUAAAUAAAAACUUUCAACAACGGAUCUCUUGGUUCUGGCAUCGAUGAAGAACGCAGCGAAAUGCGAUAAGUAAUGUGAAUUGCAGAAUUCAGUGAAUCAUCGAAUCUUUGAACGCACAUUGCGCCCGCCAGUAUUCUGGCGGGCAUGCCUGUCUGAGCGUCAUUUCAACCCUCAUGCCCCUAGGGCGUGGUGUUGGGGAUCGGCCAAAGCCCGCGAGGGACGGCCGGCCCCUAAAUCUAGUGGCGGACCCGUCGUGGCCUCCUCUGCGAAGUAGUGAUAUUCCGCAUCGGAGAGCGACGAGCCCCUGCCGUUAAACCCCCAACUUUCCAAGGUUGACCUCAGAUCAGGUAGGAAUACCCGCUGAACUUAAGCAUAUCAUA